UCGGAUGGAGAGCGGCGGACGGGUGAGUAACGCGUGAGCAAUCUGUCUCAGACAGGGGGAUAACGCAGCGAAAGUUGCACUAAUACCGCAUAAGACCACAGAGCCACAUGGCAUAGGGGGUCAAAGGAGCAAUCCGGUCUGAGGUGAGCUCGCGUCCCAUUAGGUAGUUGGUGAGGUAACGGCCCACCAAGCCUGCGAUGGGUAGCCGACCUGAGAGGGUGAUCGGCCACACUGGAACUGAGACACGGUCCAGACUCC
RNAcentral lists this ribosomal RNA (258 nucleotides) under uncultured bacterium. RNAcentral's name for it is "partial 16S ribosomal RNA". It matches the Rfam family "Bacterial small subunit ribosomal RNA", at positions 84 to 339 of the family's 1533-position model. The record is from RNAcentral.